This 250-nucleotide unclassified non-coding RNA is filed under the name plant metagenome. RNAcentral's name for it is "partial contains small subunit ribosomal RNA, internal transcribed spacer 1, and 5.8S ribosomal RNA". The stretch from base 1 to 54 matches the Rfam family "Eukaryotic small subunit ribosomal RNA", at positions 1778 to 1831 of the family's 1831-position model. The record is from RNAcentral.
GGAAGUACAAGUCGUAACAAGGUUUCCGUAGGUGAACCUGCGGAAGGAUCAUUACAGUGUUCCCUGCCCUUCGGGGUAGGAUCGCCACCCUUGAUUAUUUAUGAGUGUUGCUUUGGCGGGCCUCGCGGCCUGGCCGCGCCCCGGCUUCGGCGGGGGAGCGCCCGCCAGAGGAUUCUACAAACCUGAUUAUUAGUGUCGUCUGAGUACUAUAUAAUAGUUAAAACUUUCAACAACGGAUCUCUUGGUUCUG